Molecule: transfer RNA, 102 nt
Filed under: Lentinula lateritia
Lineage: Eukaryota; Fungi; Basidiomycota; Agaricomycetes; Agaricales; Omphalotaceae
Description: tRNA-Lys
Rfam family: tRNA
About the family: Transfer RNA (tRNA) molecules are approximately 80 nucleotides in length.
Source: RNAcentral
GCCCGCCUAGCUCAAUCGGAUAGAGCGUCAGACUCUUAGAAGCUAGGCUAUUGCGCUCUUCGUUUGAUCUGAAGGCUGCGAGUUCGACCCUCGCGGUGGGCU